Molecule: long non-coding RNA, 619 nt
Organism: Helianthus annuus (common sunflower)
Lineage: Eukaryota; Viridiplantae; Streptophyta; Magnoliopsida; Asterales; Asteraceae
Exons: 3
Source: RefSeq, a predicted model, not a curated record
AAUCCUUGAUUUUCUUGAAAGUUGUCCUGACUUGAAACUUCUCUAUAUUGAAAAGGUACGUUAGCUGUGUGUAAAGCUAGCGUUGACUAGUUCUUGGUACUUCUUAUACUUGGAUAUAAUAUUAAAACGACACUUUUUGUUUGUGUUAAAAACAAAAGCUUGCAGGUUCUCUUUGGUUUGAACAGAAGGUUGUUCCAGCUUGUAUGCUAGCAAAUCUUACAUCUAUCAAGUUUUCAAUCUGCAAGGGAUGGAAAUGUGAUAUGCCAUUGCUGAAAUACAUGUUGGGGAAUGCAGAGGUGUUGAACAGGUGAAGGGGAGUGAUGCAUAGAGAAGCUGCAGACAAAUGGUUGCUUCAAAAAGUUCAAGCGGAACUAGAAAGAGAACGAGAGGCAAGAAAAAACAUAGAAUCCCGUUUCGAACAAUUUCAACAAGAGCGCGAAAAAGAGCGGGCCGACCAAGUGGCAUGGCAAAAAACUAUGGAAGAAAAGCUGAAAAACAUAGGAAAUAAGUAAAAACUCUCGUCUUGUUAAGUAUUGGAAUGUUAAAGAUCGGAUUAGUUUUGAAUGCUUUUAGUUAGGAUUUUUGUGCGUUUUGAAAUGUUUUAAAUUUUUGGAAUGUC